This 183-nucleotide ribosomal RNA is filed under the name Blautia wexlerae. RNAcentral describes it as "partial 23S ribosomal RNA". It matches the Rfam family "Bacterial large subunit ribosomal RNA", at positions 2744 to 2925 of the family's 2925-position model. Lineage: Bacteria; Bacillati; Bacillota; Clostridia; Lachnospirales; Lachnospiraceae. The record is from RNAcentral.
AGUAGCCAAGCCCGGAAGGGAUAAACGCUGAAGGCAUCUAAGCGUGAAGCCCCCCUUAAGAUGAGAUAUCCCAUUCGAAAGAAGUAAACCCCCUUGAAGACGACGAGGUAGAUAGGGCAGAGGUGGAAGUGCAGUAAUGCAUGGAGCUGACUGUUACUAAUCGGGUGAGGGCUUGACCAAGAA